RNAcentral lists this unclassified non-coding RNA (582 nucleotides) under Aspergillus puulaauensis. RNAcentral describes it as "sequence contains 18S rRNA gene, ITS1, 5.8S rRNA gene, ITS2, 28S rRNA gene". The stretch from base 202 to 355 matches the Rfam family "5.8S ribosomal RNA". The record is from RNAcentral. Lineage: Eukaryota; Fungi; Ascomycota; Eurotiomycetes; Eurotiales; Aspergillaceae.
AGUCGUAACAAGGUUUCCGUAGGUGAACCUGCGGAAGGAUCAUUACCGAGUGCGGGCUGCCUCCGGGCGCCCAACCUCCCACCCGUGACUACCUAACACUGUUGCUUCGGCGGGGAGCCCUUUCGGGGGCGAGCCGCCGGGGACUACUGAACUUCAUGCCUGAGAGUGAUGCAGUCUGAGUCUGAAUAUAAAAUCAGUCAAAACUUUCAACAAUGGAUCUCUUGGUUCCGGCAUCGAUGAAGAACGCAGCGAACUGCGAUAAGUAAUGUGAAUUGCAGAAUUCAGUGAAUCAUCGAGUCUUUGAACGCACAUUGCGCCCCCUGGCAUUCCGGGGGGCAUGCCUGUCCGAGCGUCAUUGCUGCCCAUCAAGCCCGGCUUGUGUGUUGGGUCGUCGUCCCCCCCGGGGGACGGGCCCGAAAGGCAGCGGCGGCACCGUGUCCGGUCCUCGAGCGUAUGGGGCUUUGUCACCCGCUCGAUUAGGGCCGGCCGGGCGCCAGCCGACGUCUCCAACCAUUUUUUUCAGGUUGACCUCGGAUCAGGUAGGGAUACCCGCUGAACUUAAGCAUAUCAAUAAGCGGAGGA